GAUGAACGCUGGCGGCGUGCCUAAUACAUGCAAGUCGAGCGAACGGACGAGAAGCUUGCUUCUCUGAUGUUAGCGGCGGACGGGUGAGUAACACGUGGAUAACCUACCUAUAAGACUGGGAUAACUUCGGGAAACCGGAGCUAAUACCGGAUAAUAUUUUUAACCGCAUGGUUCAAAAUUGAAAGACGGUCUUGCUGUCACUUAUAGAUGGAUCCGCGCUGCAUUAGCUAGUUGGUAAGGUAACGGCUUACCAAGGCAACGAUGCAUAGCCGACCUGAGAGGGUGAUCCGCCACACUGGAACUGAGACACGGUCCAGAGUCCUACGGGAGGAAGCAGUAGGGAAUCUUACGCAAUGGGCGCAAGCCUGACGGAGCAACGCCGCGUGAGUGAUGAAGGUCUUCGGAUCGUAAAACUCUGUUAUUAGGGAAGAACAUAUGUGUAAGUAACUGUGCACAUCUUGACGGUACCUAAUCAGAAAGCCACGGCUAACUACGUG
This 497-nucleotide ribosomal RNA is filed under the name uncultured bacterium. RNAcentral's name for it is "partial 16S ribosomal RNA". It matches the Rfam family "Bacterial small subunit ribosomal RNA", at positions 28 to 507 of the family's 1533-position model. The record is from RNAcentral.